Molecule: ribosomal RNA, 406 nt
Filed under: uncultured bacterium
Lineage: Bacteria
Description: partial 16S ribosomal RNA
Rfam family: Bacterial small subunit ribosomal RNA
Source: RNAcentral
AUUGAACGCUGGCGGCAGGCCUAACACAUGCAAGUCGAACGAGUGGCGGACGGGUGAGUAAUGUAUGGGAAACUGCCUGACGGAGGGGGAUAACUACUGGAAACGGUAGCUAAUACCGCAUACCAUCAGAUGUGCCCAGAUGGGAUUAGCUAGUUGGUGGGGUAACGGCUCACCAAGGCGACGAUCCCUAGCUGGUUUGAUAGGAUGACCAGCCCCGCUGGGCCUGAGACACGGUCCAGCCUCCUACGGGAGGCAGAAGUGGGGCAGAUUGGACAAUGGGCGCAAGCCUGGUGCAGCCGUAGCGCGUGUAUGAUGAAGGCCUUGGGGUUGUAAAGUACUUUCGGCGGGGAGGCGUUACCCGCAGAAGGAGCACCGGCUAACUCCGUGCCAGCCGCCGCGGUAAUAC